This 2730-nucleotide long non-coding RNA is filed under the name Helianthus annuus (common sunflower). RNAcentral describes it as "hypothetical non coding rna". The record is from RNAcentral. Lineage: Eukaryota; Viridiplantae; Streptophyta; Magnoliopsida; Asterales; Asteraceae.
AUGGUUGGCCUCAUGAGUUCGGCUUCAUGGAAUGGUUAUGAUUGUUGUGGCGGUUGCAUUUGUAUCCUGCAAAUGAACUGUAACACCCCAAAAAUAUUAAAUCAUAAUUAACCAAGGUUAACUAACUUAGUUAAGUUAACUAAUAUAUUAUGAUUAAUAAAAAAUAUUUAGUUAAAAAGAAUGGAGGUACUAAUAUUGUAAGUAGAGCAAACUAAUGAAUUUAUAUAACAAAGAAAUUAAAAACACAACACACUGAAGUGUGUGUGUGUGUGCGACCAAGGGUGAGCAAGAACACCCAAACCCAAAAUUCAGAAAAAAAUGAUCAAUUGAAGGGAAAAUUUAGUCCAAAAUUCGUGUUCGAAUCAAGAAUAUCGAACAUCCCUACUUGUCUAACACUAAGUAACUCGGGUGAAGCUUCGGGAAGUCAAGCGGGAGCGAACACACGUUUAAAGGAGAAACUUUAAAGGUACGUAGCUUUAUGCUUCGUGGAAUUUCUUAGUUUGAAUUGUAAUAGCAUAUGAUCGAUUAUUAUAGAUUAGUCGUAAAAUUCGGUUUGUACACAUGUGAUGCAUUUCGUAUUGAUGAACCGGAAAGUUAAAUAAUGAAUUAACGAAAGUUUGAAUGUUUGAAAGUGAUGGAUUUCACUAAAAUAUUCAAACGGGUCAAAAUGAUAGAAAGAUAAAAGUUUGGUUGUAUAAAUGUGAUGGAUUUCGCUAAGUUAACCAAACGGGUCAAAAUGAUAGAAAGAUAAAAGUUUGGUUGUAUAAAAGCGAGGAUUUCGGUAACUUAACCAAACAGGUCAAAAUGAUAGAAAGAUAAAAGUUUGGUUGUAUAAAAGCGAUCCUUUUCAAUUACCAAGGAACCUAUCAAAUUUAAGUUGACAUGUAACGUUCACUACCAGAAAAAAAAAGUAUCAUCAACGAAAGUUAUCUGUUGGUAAUUACUAAAUGCUCUGCGAUGAAAACCAGUAAAAAAUAAAGGGUAAAUUACACUUUUCGUCCUUUAUGUUUGUAUCAGAUUGCAAUAGAUACCCUUUAAAUUUAAUAAUGACAAUCACAAUCCUUUAUUUGGAAAACUCAUUACACCUUUCGAUUUCUCCUUGAAUUUACUGAUUUUGCUAAGUUAGAGGGUUUCCCCUCUUUUCUCCUUGUUCCAGUCGACCCACACACACACACCAGUGUGUGUGUUUGGGUUAUAAUUUUUGUUUUUAUAGUUAAUCUUUCCAUCCAUCCUAAUUUGGCCCCUCAUGUUUUGGUAUUUGUAUUUUUAUGGGCAAUUUCCAUUCUCUAAGUUAAGAUUUUACUUACACUUCUAACUAGGUUCAUAAUCCUAGUUACCAUUUUAAUAACGAUUAUGUUUAUAAAUACUUUAUCUUUAACGUAUUCGCAUAUAUAAAGACUUUUGGGGGAUAACUUACUUGUAGCAUACUAUACAAUUAUAAAGAUGGGCAUAAUUAUAAUUUGGGGCAUUACAUAAAUGUAGGAUGAAUCAACUGGUUCAAUUGAUGCGAAGACUAAUUACUCGGAACCGAACUUUUGUCACCAUGUCAUUUUUCAAAAAUUGAAAAUGUUGAUAGUAAUCACAUGAGUUAGAAGUGUGAGUUCCAUCGAGGCAUCCCUUUAAGUGUGUCUAGAGUUAAUGAAAGUAAAACCGAUAUCAUACACAAAGCUAUUUGUAUUGUCACCAAUGACAAGGAAGAAAAUAUCGGAUCGUGUGAUUUAUUAUUAUAAAACUUGGCAAUUAUGGCUAAAACGAUCGCAAAAAUAGUGACCAAUAUGCAACCAAAUUCAUAAUAGUCAAAAUAUUAGCCACCACUCGCAAUCCAGUCGCAGAUUUUGUGACCGUCCAAUUUUGGUCGCAAAUCUAUGACAAUAAAACUUAAAGUUACAUACUUAAAACUAAAUUUAAAUACAAGCUAAAAAUUGUGAUCGUCUAAAUCUGGUCACAAAGAAGAAUAAAAUUAGUUAAGCAAAACUGAAUUGAUAGCAUCGGCAUAAAAAAUGUGACCACCUAAAAUCUGUUUCAAAUCAGUGAAUAACUCUAAAUUAUAUUUAAAUAAUAGUUGCAAACACAAAUCAUUGAUGCUCAACUAUCGUCAGUAUUGGUCAAUUAUGGUGAUGUCAUCUUGGAUUUUUAAUGUUUAAUUUAGGCCAAUGAUGAUACUUUAUUGUCAAAAGUGUCGAAUGAUUGUGGAUUAGGGGGGAUUAGGGUCAUUGAUGCUCAAUUAUCGUCAAUAACAGUCAAAUUAUGGGUAUGAUUAUCAACUAACGUGAUGAAUGUUCAAAUGCGGCAAGAGUUAUAAUUUAGUGCCAAUUAGGUUGAAUGGCAGUGAAUUAAGGUCGUUAAUGCUCAAUUAUUGUCAUUGACUUCAUGUAUGGUGAUUGAUAGUCCACAAGGGUGAUUGAUGAUACUUCAUGUUCAAUUAGUCCGAAUAGUAGUGAAUUAGGUUCGUUAAUGCUUAAUUGUCUUCAAUAAUGGUCAAUAACGGUGGUUAAUGGUCAAUUAGAAUGAUCACUAAUCACCAUAAUUAACAAAUGAUGAUGAAUCAGAGUAAUCUAUGCUCAAGUGUGGUCAUUGAAGGUUUAUUAGACCAUGCGUAGUCGUUGGGUGAAUAAUGCCCCACCCUAGGGCGUUUUGCGCCAUGUGGCAGCCCAGUCAGCAAUGAGGGAUUAUUAAGCGUUUUUACAAAAGGGGUGUAGUGGGGAUGUAGGGAUUGUACGGCAUUAUGUU